AGGGUUCGAUUAUGGCUCAGGACGAACGCUGGCGGCGUGCCUAACACAUGCAAGUCGAACGAGAAUCAAUGGACGGAGUUUUCGGACAACUGAAGUUGAGGAAAGUGGCGGACGGGUGAGUAACGCGUGAGCAACCUGCCUUGGAGUGGGGGACAACAGAGGGAAACUUCUGCUAAUACCGCAUAAAGUGCCGUGAGGGCAUCCUCGUGGCACCAAAGAUUUAUCGCUCUGAGAUGGGCUCGCGUCUGAUUAGAUAGUUGGUGGGGUAACGGCCUACCAAGUCUGCGAUCAGUAGCCGGGUUGAGAGACUGAACGGCCACAUUGGGACUGAGAUACGGCCCAG
RNAcentral lists this ribosomal RNA (343 nucleotides) under uncultured bacterium. RNAcentral describes it as "bacterial SSU rRNA". It matches the Rfam family "Bacterial small subunit ribosomal RNA", at positions 8 to 334 of the family's 1533-position model. The record is from RNAcentral.